GUCGAACGAACUUCCGUUAAUUGAUUAUGACGUACUUGUACUGAUUGAGAUUUUAACACGAAGUGAGUGGCGAACGGGUGAGUAACACGUGGGUAACCUGCCCAGAAGUAGGGGAUAACACCUGGAAACAGAUGCUAAUACCGUAUAACAGAGAAAACCGCAUGGUUUUCUUUUAAAAGAUGGCUCUGCUAUCACUUCUGGAUGGACCCGCGGCGUAUUAGCUAGUUGGUGAGGUAAAGGCUCACCAAGGCAGUGAUACGUAGCCGACCUGAGAGGGUAAUCGGCCACAUUGGGACUGAGACACGGCCCAGACUCCUACGGGAGGCAGCAGUAGGGAAUCUUCCACAAUGGACGCAAGUCUGAUGGAGCAACGCCGCGUGAGUGAAGAAGGGUUUCGGCUCGUAAAGCUCUGUUGUUAAAGAAGAACGUGGGUAAGAGUAACUGUUUACCCAGUGACGGUAUUUAACCAGAAAGCCACGGCUAACUACGUGCCAGCAGCCGCGGUAAUACGUAGGUGGCAAGCGUUAUCCGGAUUUAUUGGGCGUAAAGCGAGCGCAGGCGGUCUUUUAAGUCUAAUGUGAAAGCCUUCGGCUCAACCGAAGAAGUGCAUUGGAAACUGGGAGACUUGAGUGCAGAAGAGGACAGUGGAACUCCAUGUGUAGCGGUGAAAUGCGUAGAUAUAUGGAAGAACACCAGUGGCGAAGGCGGCUGUCUGGUCUGCAACUGACGCUGAG
This 734-nucleotide ribosomal RNA is filed under the name Pediococcus pentosaceus. RNAcentral describes it as "bacterial SSU rRNA". It matches the Rfam family "Bacterial small subunit ribosomal RNA", at positions 61 to 750 of the family's 1533-position model. Lineage: Bacteria; Bacillati; Bacillota; Bacilli; Lactobacillales; Lactobacillaceae. The record is from RNAcentral.